UUGAACUUAAGCAUAUCAAUAAGCGGAGGAAAAGAAACUAACAAGGAUUCCCCUAGUAACUGCGAGUGAAGCGGGAAAAGCUCAAAUUUUGAAUCUGGCGGUCAUCUUUYGGCCGUCCGAAUUGUAAUCUAGAGAAGUGUCUUCCGCGUUGGACCGUGUACAAGUCUCCUGGAAGGGAGCGUCCUAGAGGGUGAGAAUCCCGUCUUUGACACGGACUACCAAGGCUAUGUGAUGCACUCUCAACGAGUCGAGUUGUUUGUGAAUGCAGCUCAAAUCGGGUGGUAAAUUCCAUCUAAAGCUAAAUACAGGCGAGAAACCGAUAGCGAACAAGUACCGUGAGGGAAAGACGAAAAGAACUUUGAAAAGAGAGUUAAAUAGUACGUGAAAUUGCUGAAAGGGAAACGCUUGAGGUCCAGUCGCGUCGUUCGGGGAUCAACCUUGCUUUAUCGCUCGGUGCACUUCUCGUUCGACGGGUCAACAUCAGUUUUGGUCGCUACAAAAUGGCAAAAGUGAAUGUGGCACUUUUCGGAGUGUGUUAUAGCCUUUCGUCGACUGUCGUGGCUAGGACUGAGGAACUCGGCACGAUCUUUAACUAGUUCGUGUCUAGGAUGUUGGCAUAAUGGCCUUAAGCGACCCGUCUUGAAACACGGACCAAGGAGUCUAACAUGCGUGCGAGUGUUCGGGUGUUUAAACCCAAGCGCGAAAUGAAAGUGAAAGUCGAGAUCUCUGUCGUGGAGAGCACCGACGCCCGGAUCUGAGUCUUUGACAAAGUUUCUGCGGUAGAGCACGUAUGUUGGGACCCGAAAGAUGGUGAACUAUGCCUGAAUAGGGUGAAGCCAGAGGAAACUCUGGUGGAGGCUCGUAGCGAUUCUGACGUGCAAAUCGAUCGUCGA
This is a ribosomal RNA of 893 nucleotides. It matches the Rfam family "Eukaryotic large subunit ribosomal RNA", at positions 28 to 908 of the family's 3401-position model.